GUAAAACGCAGUAACGCCGAUGGUAGUGUGGGGUUUCCCCAUGUGAGAGUAGGGCAUCGCCAGAUUGAAUUUAGGCCGAGAGGCGAAGGGAACCCUGUGGUUAGCGAUAACU
RNAcentral lists this ribosomal RNA (112 nucleotides) under Actinobacillus pleuropneumoniae serovar 5b str. L20. The record is from RNAcentral. Lineage: Bacteria; Pseudomonadati; Pseudomonadota; Gammaproteobacteria; Pasteurellales; Pasteurellaceae.